Molecule: ribosomal RNA, 253 nt
Filed under: uncultured bacterium
Lineage: Bacteria
Description: partial 16S ribosomal RNA
Rfam family: Bacterial small subunit ribosomal RNA
Source: RNAcentral
UACGUAGGGGGCAAGCGUUGUCCGGAUUUAUUGGGCGUAAAGAGCGUGUAGGCGGCCUGACAGGUCAGCUGUGAAAACUCGAGGCUCAACCUCGAGACGUCGGUUGAAACCAUCUGGCUAGAGUCCGGAAGAGGAGUGUGGAAUUCCCGGUGUAGCGGUGAAAUGCGCAGAUAUCGGGAAGAACACCCGUGGCGAAGGCGGCUCUCUGGGACGGUACUGACGCUGAGACGCGAAAGCGUGGGGAGCGAACAGG